This 465-nucleotide ribosomal RNA is filed under the name uncultured bacterium. RNAcentral describes it as "partial 16S ribosomal RNA". It matches the Rfam family "Bacterial small subunit ribosomal RNA", at positions 338 to 795 of the family's 1533-position model. The record is from RNAcentral.
CCUACGGGAGGCAGCAGUGGGGAAUAUUGCGCAAUGGGCGAAAGCCUGACGCAGCGACGCCGCGUGAGGGAUGAAGGUCUUCGGAUCGUAAACCUCUGUCAGCAGGGAAGAACGGUCACUGUGCUAAUCAGCAGUGAAUUGACGGUGCCUGCAAAGGAAGCACCGGCUAACUCCGUGCCAGCAGCCGCGGUAAUACGGAGGGUGCGAGCGUUAAUCGGAAUUACUGGGCGUAAAGCGCUCGUAGGCGGUAUGUCAAGUCAAGGGUGAAAGCCCCGCGCUCAACGUGGGAACUGCCUUUGAAACGGGCAAACUGGAGUGUGUGAGAGGAGAGUGGAAUUCCAGGUGUAGGAGUGAAAUCCGUAGAUAUCUGGAGGAACAUCAGUGGCGAAGGCGACUAUCUGGCACAUAACUGACGCUGAGGAGCGAAAGCGUGGGUAGCAAACAGGAUUAGAUACCCCUGUAGUC